RNAcentral lists this long non-coding RNA (714 nucleotides) under Phoenix dactylifera (date palm). RNAcentral's name for it is "long non-coding RNA (PDAC_LNC018651)". The record is from RNAcentral. Lineage: Eukaryota; Viridiplantae; Streptophyta; Magnoliopsida; Arecales; Arecaceae.
CAAAACCAAGAAAAUCCGAUGACUUAUGCCUGCAGCUUUAGAGAAACCAAGAAUGGCUAGAGUGUUCCACUCGCCCACCGUCUUCUUUCUUCGCCUCUCCACCGUCUUCUCGUUCUUCCAUCCCAUGGCGCCAUGGCGUUCCCGGGAGAUUCCAAUCCUCUGGGCCUCUCGUUAGAUGUGCCCUAGGGUUUCAGUUUUCCCGAGGAUGUCAUGACUGGAGGCUUUGGUAUUUCGAAAUUUAGAUCCGUCUCCAUGGCUUUAGUUCCUAUUUAAUGCGAUAUUAUUGUUUCUUUGAGCUUUUCCUUCUAUUAUCCGAUUGAGUUCGCCUUGUCGGUUAAUAAAAAUUGAAUCUUUCUUAAUUUCUUUGGGAAUAUGACAUUCUUAUGCAAAUGCUUUAAUUUUCUUGUUGAUGUUUGGUGUUUAUAAAUCAUUUCGCCAAAGAAAUUAAUUGCGAGGAUGAUAAGUUUCCUAUUUCAUCUUUUUCCUGUGAUAUUUGUGCCGCAUGUAACACUCUCCAGUUAAUUUAUUUAGGUUCUUGCCUCAUAAUAGAUGUGGGUUAAGGCGACUUCUAUGUCUGAAUGGUAGAAGGGUAUCCCCAUGUCAUUAAUAUAUAAACAAAGAAGCUGAAAGGACAAGGCAAUGCUUUCCCCCCUCUGUCUUGGUAGUCUGCAAGACUGUUUGUUUAAAAUUGCCUUCUUGAUCUUGCAAAAGCAA